GCGGGCGGCUUCCGGGAAACCAAAGUUUUUCGGUUCCGGGGGAAGUAUGGUUGCAAAGCUGAAACUUAAAGGAAUUGACGGAAGGGCACCACCAAGAGUGGAGCCUGCGGCUUAAUUUGACUCAACACGGGAAAACUCACCCGGCCCGGACACUAGAAGGAUUGACAGAUUGAGAGCUCUUUCUUGAUUUAGUGGGUGGUGGUGCAUGGCCGUUCUUAGUUGGUGGAGUGAUUUGUCUGGUUAAUUCCGAUAACGAACGAGACUCUAGCCUACUAAAUAGAUAGUCGGCUUACAAACGUCGACUAGACUUCUUAGAGGGACAGGCGGUGAUUCAACCGCACGAAACAGAGCAAUAACAGGUCUGUGAUGCCCUUAGAUGUCCGGGGCUGCACGCGCGCUACACUGGAGAAGUCAGCGUGCUAUACCAUUGCCGAAAGACAUUGGUAAACCGAUCAAAAUUCUCCGUGAUCGGGAUCGGGAAUUGCAAUUAUUUCCCUUGAACGAGGAAUUCCCAGUAAGUGUGGGUCAUCAGCUCACGCUGAUUACGUCCCUGCCCUUUGUACACACCGCCCGUCGCUGCCCGGGACUGAGCCGUUUCGAGAAAAGCGGGGACCGCUGGUGUCGGG
This 626-nucleotide ribosomal RNA is filed under the name uncultured eukaryote. RNAcentral's name for it is "bacterial SSU rRNA". It matches the Rfam family "Eukaryotic small subunit ribosomal RNA", at positions 1079 to 1728 of the family's 1831-position model. The record is from RNAcentral.